GCGAAAAGAACCCCGGCGAGGGGAGUGAAAAAGAACCUGAAACCGUGUACGUACAAGCAGUGGGAGCACAGGUUUACCUGUGUGACUGCGUACCUUUUGUAUAAUGGGUCAGCGACUUAUAUUCUGUAGCAAGGUUAACCGAAUAGGGGAGCCGGAGGGAAACCGAGUCUUAAUUGGGCGUUAAGUUGCAGGGUAUAGACCCGAAACCCGGUGAUCUAGCCAUGGGCAGGUUGAAGGUUGGGUAACACUAACUGGAGGACCGAACCGACUAAUGUUGAAAAAUUAGCGGAUGACCUGUGGCUGGGGGUGAAAGGCCAAUCAAACCGGGAGAUAGCUGGUUCUCCCCGAAAGCUAUUUAGGUAGCGCCUCGUGAAUUCAUCUCCGGGGGUAGAGCACUGUUUCGGCUAGGGGGCCAUCCCGGCUUACCAACCCGAUGCAAACUGCGAAUACCGGAGAAUGUUAUCACGGGAGACACACGGCGGGUGCUAACGUCCGUCGUGAAGAGGGAAACAACCCAGACCGCCAGCUAAGGUCCCAAAGUCAUGGUUAAGUGGGAAACGAUGUGGGAAGGCCCAGACAGCCAGGAUGUUGGCUUAGAAGCAGCCAUCAUUUAAAGAAAGCGUAAUAGCUCACUGGUCGAGUCGGCCUGCGCGGAAGAUGUAACGGGGCUAAACCAU
This 677-nucleotide ribosomal RNA is filed under the name Salmonella enterica subsp. enterica serovar Dublin. RNAcentral describes it as "partial 23S ribosomal RNA". It matches the Rfam family "Bacterial large subunit ribosomal RNA", at positions 514 to 1190 of the family's 2925-position model. Lineage: Bacteria; Pseudomonadati; Pseudomonadota; Gammaproteobacteria; Enterobacterales; Enterobacteriaceae. The record is from RNAcentral.